GACGAACGCUGGCGGCGUGCUUAACACAUGCAAGUCGAACGGAAAGGCCCUGCUUUUGUGGGGUGCUCGAGUGGCGAACGGGUGAGUAACACGUGAGUAACCUGCCCUUGACUUUGGGAUAACUUCAGGAAACUGGGGCUAAUACCGGAUAGGAGCUCCUGCUGCAUGGUGGGGGUUGGAAAGUUUCGGCGGUUGGGGAUGGACUCGCGGCUUAUGAGCUUGUUGGUGGGGUAGUGGCUUACCAAGGCUUUGACGGGUAGCCGGCCUGAGAGGGUGACCGGCCACAUUGGGACUGAGGUACGGCCCGAAACCCUACCGGAGGCAACAGUGGGGAAUAUUGCACAAUGGGCGGAAGCCUGAUGCAGCAACGCCGCGUUCGGGAUGACGGCCUUCGGGUUGUAAACCGCUUUCGCCUGUGACGAAGCGUGAGUGACGGUAAUGGGUAAAGAAGCACCGGCUAACUACGUG
This 468-nucleotide ribosomal RNA is filed under the name uncultured bacterium. RNAcentral describes it as "partial 16S ribosomal RNA". It matches the Rfam family "Bacterial small subunit ribosomal RNA", at positions 28 to 507 of the family's 1533-position model. The record is from RNAcentral.